UACGUAGGGGGCAAGCGUUGUCCGGAAUCAUUGGGCGUAAAGCGCGUGUAGGCGGCUUGGUAGGUCCGUUCUGAAAGCCCGGGGCUCAACCCCGGGAGGCGGAUGGAUACUGUCAAGCUUGAGUCCGGAAGAGGCGAGUGGAAUUCCCGGUGUAGCGGUGAAAUGCGCAGAUAUCGGGAGGAACACCAAUGGCGAAGGCAGCUCGCUGGGACGUGACUGACGCUGAGACGCGAAAGCGUGGGGAGCAAACAGG
RNAcentral lists this ribosomal RNA (253 nucleotides) under uncultured bacterium. RNAcentral describes it as "partial 16S ribosomal RNA". It matches the Rfam family "Bacterial small subunit ribosomal RNA", at positions 524 to 776 of the family's 1533-position model. The record is from RNAcentral.